RNAcentral lists this transfer RNA (67 nucleotides) under marine eukaryotic metagenome. It matches the Rfam family "tRNA", at positions 5 to 66 of the family's 71-position model. From Rfam's summary of the family: Transfer RNA (tRNA) molecules are approximately 80 nucleotides in length. The record is from RNAcentral.
CCGUAGUUCAACUGGAAAGAGCGUCUGACUACGAAUCAGAAGGUUGGGGGUUCGAGUCCCUCCGGGC